Molecule: transfer RNA, 77 nt
Filed under: Methylotenera sp.
Lineage: Bacteria; Pseudomonadati; Pseudomonadota; Betaproteobacteria; Nitrosomonadales; Methylophilaceae
Description: tRNA-Leu
Rfam family: tRNA
About the family: Transfer RNA (tRNA) molecules are approximately 80 nucleotides in length. Their secondary structure includes four short double-helical elements and three loops (D, anti-codon, and T loops). Further hydrogen bonds mediate the characteristic L-shaped molecular structure. tRNAs have two regions of fundamental functional importance: the anti-codon, which is responsible for specific mRNA codon recognition, and the 3' end, to which the tRNAs corresponding amino acid is attached (by aminoacyl-tRNA synthetases). tRNAs cope with the degeneracy of the genetic code in two manners: having more than one tRNA (with a specific anti-codon) for a particular amino acid; and 'wobble' base-pairing, i.e. permitting non-standard base-pairing at the 3rd anti-codon position.
Source: RNAcentral
GGCCACGUACUCCAAUUGGCAGAGGGGACAUGUUCAAACCUUGUAAAGUGUCGGUUCGAAUCCGACCGUGGCUACAA